UCGAAUAGUAAGUAAAAUAGAUUGAAAAUAAAUUAGCCAAACGUUAAAAAAUAAAAUACACAUUUUUUUAUUAACUAUUUAUAUAAAUAAAAUACAAAAAAAUUGAAGGAAAAUUAUAAGUAAUUGCUAAUCUAUUUAAAUCCCAGUAUAUUCAUAGAGUAAUAUACAGUACCGGCUUUUUUUUUUACAAAAAAAUAAAUAAAGGCACCCUAACAAUAUCCUGGCUUUGCCCCACUGCUGUCCUAAAGCUUUGCUUGUACGGGCAACUCCACUGACUGAGCACAAAACUAUUAAAAGACCAAAAGAGGGGCACAGAGAAACAGAUUUCACUUUAUUUAACAUAAUACAUGAAAACAAAGCAGUUACAUAAAGCCACGUUCUGAGUUCCAAACAAAGGAGUCUUCACACAUUUGUUCAGAAUAUUCAAAUGUUUGAUUUUUCUAGAAGCUUAAUACAUUCCCAACUUCCUACUUGAUUAAUAGAUACAUAAACUAACAGCAUUCC
Molecule: long non-coding RNA, 504 nt
Filed under: Citrus sinensis (sweet orange)
Lineage: Eukaryota; Viridiplantae; Streptophyta; Magnoliopsida; Sapindales; Rutaceae
Description: long non-coding RNA (CSIN_LNC005684)
Source: RNAcentral